This is a non-coding RNA of Plectropomus leopardus (leopard coralgrouper), 232 nucleotides long. The record is from RefSeq and is a predicted model, not a curated record. NCBI's taxonomy places the organism in Eukaryota, Metazoa, Chordata, Actinopteri, Perciformes, Serranidae.
CUCGUUCUUUCCCUCGGUUUUUCAAAUCUGGCCAAAAUAUUGACCAGCAGGGAGCAGAACGUGCGGCACCCAAAUGUGUGUCCAUGAAGAAUAACCCAUUUCGAGAAAAUUAUAGGAUGGUGAAGAGAAGAACGCCUCUCUGUGUAGUUCAUCAGCAGAGCUCAGAAGUUCCCAGCAGUCAAAGUGUCCAUGUGCCUCAACCAGACCUGGACUCCAUUUUUCAGGUGAGUGA